UACGAAGGGGGCUAGCGUUGCUCGGAAUCACUGGGCGUAAAGCGCACGUAGGCGGGUCGUUAAGUCGGGGGGGAAAUCCUGGAGCUCAACUCCAGAACUGCCUUCGAAACUGGCGAACUAGAAUCUGGCAGAGGGGGGUGGAAUUCCACGUGUAGCAGUGAAAUGCGUAGAGAUGUGGAGGAACAUCGAUGGCGAAGGCAGCCCCCUGGGCUGAGAUUGACGCUCAGGCACGAAAGCGUGAGGAGCAAACAGG
RNAcentral lists this ribosomal RNA (253 nucleotides) under uncultured bacterium. Its description in RNAcentral is "partial 16S ribosomal RNA". It matches the Rfam family "Bacterial small subunit ribosomal RNA", at positions 524 to 776 of the family's 1533-position model. The record is from RNAcentral.